UUUUGAAAAGAAGUCGAACCUGCCCGGUGAUAAAUUUAUUUAACGGCUGCGGUAAUUCGUACGAAGGUAGCAUAGUAAGUAGCCCUUUAAUUGGGGGAUGGAAUGAAUGGUAUGUCAUGGAGAUACUGUCUUUAGUGUAAUUUGAUGAAAUUUUCUUUUAAGUGAAAAGACUUAAAUAUUUGUAAAAGAAGAGAAGACCCUAUCGAGCUUAAUUAGAAAACAAAAUUGAAGAUAGUAUCUGAGGUUUUGUAUUUUGAAGUUUUGUCGGGAGGACAGAAGACUAAAAGGAACGUCUUUUUCUUGAAUAUAGAACCCUUUAUGACGGGAAAAAAGCAGAAGUUACCGUAGGGAUAACAGCGUAAUAUCUUUCUGAGAGAUCGUAUUGAGGAAAGAGUGUGCGACCUCGAUGUUGAAUUAAGGAAGCUUUUUGGUUGUAGCAGCUAAUUUAAGUGAAACUGUUCGUUUUUUAAAACCUUACAUGAUCUGAGUUCAGACCGGAUUA
RNAcentral lists this ribosomal RNA (502 nucleotides) under Sunetta menstrualis. RNAcentral describes it as "partial large subunit ribosomal RNA". It matches the Rfam family "Bacterial large subunit ribosomal RNA", at positions 1839 to 2623 of the family's 2925-position model. The record is from RNAcentral. Lineage: Eukaryota; Metazoa; Mollusca; Bivalvia; Venerida; Veneridae.